Molecule: ribosomal RNA, 403 nt
Filed under: bacterium
Lineage: Bacteria
Description: partial 16S ribosomal RNA
Rfam family: Bacterial small subunit ribosomal RNA
Source: RNAcentral
UGGGGAAUCUUGCACAAUGGGGGAAACCCUGAUGCAGCGACGCCGCGUGAGCGAUGAAGGUUUUCGAAUCGUAAAGCUCUGUCCUAUGGGAAGAUAAUGACGGUACCAUAGGAGGAAGCCCCGGCUAACUACGUGCCAGCAGCCGCUGUAAUACGUAGGGGGCGAGCGUUGUCCGGAAUUACUGGGCGUAAAGGGUUCGCAGGCGGCAUGACAAGUCCGAUGUAAAAGGCGAAAGCUCAACUUUCGUAAGCAUCGGAAACUGUCAAGAUUGAGUGAAGGAGAGGCAAGUGGAAUUCCUAGUGUAGCGGUGGAAUACGUAGAUAUUAGGAGGAGUACCGGUGGCGAAGGCGACAUGCUGGACUUCAACUGACGCUGAGGAACGAAAGCGUGGGUAGCAAACAGG